UCAGGCCUAACACAUGCAAGUCGAGCGGUAGCAGGAAGUGCUUGCACUUCGCUGACGAGCGGCGGACGGGUGCGUAACACGUAGGAAUCUGCCUGGUAGUGGGGGAUAGCCCGGAGAAAUCCGGAUUAAUACCGCAUACGCCCUACGGGGGAAAGGAGGGGACCCGUUUCUUUUAUAAGAAGCGAGCCUUUCGCUAUCAGAUGAGCCUGCGUCGGAUUAGCUUGUUGGUGGGGUAAAGGCCUACCAAGGCGACGAUCCGUAGCUGGUCUGAGAGGAUGAUCAGCCACACUGGGACUGAGACACGGCCCAGACUCCUACGGGAGGCAGCAGUGGGGAAUAUUGCACAAUGGGCGAAAGCCUGAUGCAGCCAUGCCGCGUGUGUGAAGAAGGCCCUAGGGUUGUAAAGCACUUUCAGUGGGGAGGAAAGGUUGAAGGUUAAUACCCUUCAGCUGUGACGUUACCCACAGAAGAAGCACCGGCUAACUCCGUGCCAGCAGCCGCGGUAAUACGGAGGGUGCGAGCGUUAAUCGGAAUUACUGGGCGUAAAGCGUGCGUAGGCGGCCACCUGAGUUGGAUGUGAAAGCCCCGGGCUCAACCUGGGAACUGCAUCCAAAACUGGGUGGCUAGAGUACGGGAGAGGAGUGUGGAAUUUCCUGUGUAGCGGUGAAAUGCGUAGAUAUAGGAAGGAACACCAGUGGCG
This 700-nucleotide ribosomal RNA is filed under the name uncultured bacterium. RNAcentral's name for it is "bacterial SSU rRNA". It matches the Rfam family "Bacterial small subunit ribosomal RNA", at positions 42 to 717 of the family's 1533-position model. The record is from RNAcentral.